UACGGGGGGGGUAAGCGUUGUUCGGAAUUACUGGGCGUAAAGGGCGCGUAGGCGGCUUGGCAAGUGGAAGGUGAAAUCCCUCGGCUUAACCGAGGAACUGCCCUCCAAACUGCUUUGCUUGAGGCCGGGAGAGGUGAGUGGAAUUCCCAGUGUAGCGGUGAAAUGCGUAGAUAUUGGGAGGAACACCAGUGGCGAAGGCGGCUCACUGGACCGGUUCUGACGCUGAGGCGCGAAAGCGUGGGGAGCAAACGGG
RNAcentral lists this ribosomal RNA (253 nucleotides) under uncultured bacterium. Its description in RNAcentral is "partial 16S ribosomal RNA". It matches the Rfam family "Bacterial small subunit ribosomal RNA", at positions 524 to 776 of the family's 1533-position model. The record is from RNAcentral.